RNAcentral lists this ribosomal RNA (459 nucleotides) under uncultured bacterium. RNAcentral's name for it is "partial 16S ribosomal RNA". It matches the Rfam family "Bacterial small subunit ribosomal RNA", at positions 338 to 795 of the family's 1533-position model. The record is from RNAcentral.
CCUACGGGUGGCAGCAGUGAGGAAUAUUGGUCAAUGGCCGGAAGGCUGAACCAGCCAAGCCGCGUGAAGGACGAAGGUGCCAAGCAUUGUAAACUUCUUUUGUCAAGGGACAAAAUCAGGCUCGAGAGCCUGACCGAGGGUACUUGAAGAAAAAGCAUCGGCGAAAUCCGUGACAGCAGCCGCGGUAAUACGGAGGAUGCAAGCGUUAACAGGAUUAAUUGGGCUUAAAGGGGGCGUAGGCGGACUGUUAAGUCAGCGGUAAAAUCCCGGGGCUCAACCCCGGCGAGCCGUUGAAACUGGCUGUCUUGAGAUGUCGAGAGGUAUGCGGAAUGCGCAGUGUAGCGGUGAAAUGCUUAGAUAUUGCGCAGAACUCCGAUUGCGAAGGCAGCAUACCGGCGGCGAUCUGACGCUGAGGCACGAAAGCGUGGGUAUCGAACAGGAUUAGAUACCCGGGUAGUC